RNAcentral lists this ribosomal RNA (393 nucleotides) under uncultured bacterium. Its description in RNAcentral is "partial 16S ribosomal RNA". It matches the Rfam family "Bacterial small subunit ribosomal RNA", at positions 523 to 918 of the family's 1533-position model. The record is from RNAcentral.
AUACGGAGGAUCCGAGCGUUAUCCGGAUUUAUUGGGUUUAAAGGGAGCGUAGGUGGAUUGUUAAGUCAGUUGUGAAAGUUUGCGGCUCAACCGUAAAAUUGCAGUUGAAACUGGCAGUCUUGAAUACAGUAGAGGUGGGCGGAAUUCGUGGUGUAGCGGUGAAAUGCUUAGAUAUCACGAAGAACUCCGAUUGCGAAGGCAGCUCACUAGACUGUUACUGACACUGAUGCUCGAAAGUGUGGGUAUCAAACAGGAUUAGAUACCCUGGUAGUCCACACAGUAAACGAUGAAUACUCGCUGUUUGCGAUAUACAGUAAGCGGCCAAGCGAAAGCAUUAAGUAUUCCACCUGGGGAGUACGCCGGCAACGGUGAAACUCAAAUGAAUUGACGGGG